UUAUAAUCUAACAGUGAUAUUUCUACUAAUGAACGUUUGUGGAUCUGUUUGUACUCUUUUUCUGCUUUCCUUUCAAAUGGUGGAAUAUCAUUUCCUUGCAUACUUAGAUGCCUUUGAAUGACAAAUAUUUAUUUGUCUCUAAAAAUUAUUUUUGUGCACUUUUGCGGAUUAGUAAAUAGGAAAUUUGCCAAAGAGAAUUUCAAUUGUUUUGUGAUUCUACUAAAGACACCACCAUUCUGGGACCACAUUAUGUUAAUUCUUGGCCUAAAGGUGUUCGGACGUAUGUUUGGACUGCACAUUUAAACAAUUUUUAAAUUAGUUGCUGUAAAUCAUUAACGAUUGAGUUUCUUUAAAUCUGUCCAAUCUCAAGUCAUUUUUAUUUGCCAUUUCCAGGGAAUGUGAAAUGGGACUAAUUUACCUCUGAUUCUUCUUUAUACUGAGGAUAUAAAUUUUGGUCCUAGCUUUAGGGAGGAGCUCCUGUGUGAUGCCCUAUCUUGGGAAAAUCUAUGUAUUUCUUUACUCUCCUAUGUGAUGUAUGACAGUAGGAAUCUGCACUCAUUCAUUUUGCUACAUGUCCGUAGGGCAAAAUCAGUUUCGGUGUUUAGUUAUAUUUUGUCUGCUCCCUGCAUUCCCAUUGUUUUGCCAUUAUAUUUUACUUUUAUUUGUGAACAUACCAGUGCUUCAAAUUUUUUCCAGUAAUAUAUUCAACUAUAUUAUGAGAAAGAGAAAAAUUUUGAUAAAACACAAAUUUCAUGUUUUCCUUCUCUAAUUGGCUUCUACCUAAAAAUACAGGUAAAAUUUAUUUGUGCUUUUUUGCUAUUUCAGUUUUGCUAUUCUCUGUUUGUCUAUGUCUUCUCCACAUAGACACAAUUAGGGAAUUUUGUACACUCUUGUGCCAACUGCUUUGAUAGUAAUAAAAUGUAUUUCUCGAACUCCUAGGUAUAAAACUCAAGUAUCCACAAUUUAAAUUCUUUUUUGCUCACUUCUAUUAUGUUUCCAGUCUCAAUAGAAAUCGAUGCCAAUCCAGAAAUACAAGCAUUAUUCUAAUACUUCUCACACAUUACAGGGCAGAGAAGAUCCAGAGAAAGCCCAAGUGGCUGCUGGAACAAAGUCAGACACCGUGCCACCUGUCCACACUCCUUGGCUCUGCCAUCAUGCUGAAGAUUGGUUUAAAGGUCUGGCUUCCCUCCCCGCAAAAUUAAAAGAGCACAAACUGAGAAACUGAAUGUGGGAGACAGCAGUGGGUUAUGCUGUUCUCAGGGGUCACCUCAGGUUUGGAAGCGUUCUUUCAAAUUAACCCAUCUCAGGCCAUCUGCAGAGAAGAAAGGUGGUACCUAACAUUUUUUCUUGUCAGCACUUGGUAGGGGUGUUUUAUUGACCAAAUAUGUUCCCACAACCUAGUUUUUUGUAACUAAAUAUAGUAGAUUUUUAAAUUUUAUCAUCAAAAUCUAUAGACAAUUUUUUAUUAAAAUAGGCUCCACAUCUAUGUCCUGCUUUUCUUCUUAUUAAUUACAUUGCUGUAUGAAAGAACAAGACUUCAGAAUCAAGAAUAUCUUGUCUCUUGGCAUUGAAUUUAUACAAGGUGCUCUUUCUUUAAUGCUGUCUCAAAGGGCAUAUUUUUACUCAUUAAAAAGGAAGAUCAGAAUCUAGUUGUAUGCACUGCUCCAACGUAUUAAUAAUUAAAAUUAGGAUGUAAAUGUGGUCAAAGCUAUAGAAAGAUUUGGGAUGUCGUUUAUAUUGAUUACUGUAUAGCACUCUACAAACAGAAAUUGUGAAAUAAUAGCUUAUAUAAAUAUUUUGUAGCAUUUCAAAUAUUAGAGUGCCUGAAGUUUCUCCUCUUAUAUAGUUCAGAUUAUCAAUUUGAAUAGUUACUCCACUGGUUAAAAAGUUUUUAGUCUCGUUUCAGUAUUAAUAUAAAAGCAAUUUUCAGUUAAAAGUGUUCCGCUUACAUAAAACAUUAGAAACUAGUGAGUAUUUAAUUACAUUUUCGUAUUCCUGUAAUGCCUUUAGAAGAUUUUCAUAUUAUUACCUAUCAAUAUAUGUAUGCUUUGUCUAAGAAAAAUCAAUCAUAUACAUCAUUGAAAUGGAAACUUUUUAAAAGUACUUAUUAAUUCUAUUGAAAAACCACAUCCAUAGGAGCAAUUACAAUAUAAUAUUGUGAACAUGUAAAUAUAUAUCCUAUGUCUAUUUUAUAUAGAAGCAUAUGUGAUUAAAAAUAUAGUUAAUAAUUUUUAAACCUAGUUUCAUAAAGUAAAAAUUAGUUAAACUUCUGAUGAUUAUUUGUUAAUUAAGAUAAAAUU
RNAcentral lists this long non-coding RNA (2300 nucleotides) under Homo sapiens (human). Its description in RNAcentral is "HSALNT0123413". The record is from RNAcentral. Lineage: Eukaryota; Metazoa; Chordata; Mammalia; Primates; Hominidae.